UAGGGAAUCUUCGGCAAUGGGGGCAACCCUGACCGAGCAACGCCGCGUGAGUGAAGAAGGUUUUCGGAUCGUAAAGCUCUGUUGUAAGAGAAGAACGUGUGUGAGAGUGGAAAGUUCACACAGUGACGGUAACUUACCAGAAAGGGACGGCUAACUACGUGCCAGCAGCCGUGGUAAUACGUAGGUCCCGAGCGUUGUCCGGAUUUAUUGGGCGUAAAGCGAGCGCAGGCGGUUUAAUAAGUCUGAAGUUAAAGGCAGUGGCUUAACCAUUGUUCGCUUUGGAAACUGUUAAACUUGAGUGCAGAAGGGGAGGGUGGAAAUCCAUGUGUAGCGGUGAAAUGCGUAGAUAUAUGGAGGAACACCGGUGGCGAAAGCGGCUCUCUGGUCUGUAACUGACGCUGAGGCUCGAAAGCGUGGGGAGCAAACAGG
This 429-nucleotide ribosomal RNA is filed under the name bacterium. Its description in RNAcentral is "partial 16S ribosomal RNA". It matches the Rfam family "Bacterial small subunit ribosomal RNA", at positions 355 to 776 of the family's 1533-position model. The record is from RNAcentral.